UUUGAACACUGUUAGAGCUCUGCGUUGGGCCACUGACUGGUCGAUGAACUCACAAGUGUGGGCAGGGUGCCAUGUGAGGGGCAAGUCUUUCGCUAACACCACAGGGGUCUCUGGGCCAGGUAGUGGAGUUUGAUAGUAAUUCUUACUACAAAU
Suricata suricatta (meerkat) is the source of this 153-nucleotide small nucleolar RNA. Lineage: Eukaryota; Metazoa; Chordata; Mammalia; Carnivora; Herpestidae. The record is from Ensembl.